AACGAACGUUGGCGGCGUGGAUUAGGCAUGCAAGUCGUGGGAAUCCCCAGCAAUGGGGGGGAACCGGCGUAAGGGGCAGUAAAGCGUGGGCAACCUACCCUGGGAUCUGGCAUAGCCCGUUGAGAGACGGGGUAAUUCCAGGCGACGUCCCGAUGGGGCAUCCUGUUGGGACCAAAGCUCCGGGCGUCCUGGGCGGGGUCCACGUGGUAUUAGCUAGUGGUGGGGUAACGGCCCACCAAGGCGGAGAUGCCUAGCGGGGUGAGAGCACGACCCGCGCCACUGGCACUGAGACACUGGCCAGGACACCUACGGGUGGCUGCAGUCGAGGAUCUUCGGCAAUGGGGGCAACCCUGACCGAGCGACGCCGCGUGUGCGACGAAGGCCUU
RNAcentral lists this ribosomal RNA (386 nucleotides) under uncultured bacterium. RNAcentral describes it as "bacterial SSU rRNA". It matches the Rfam family "Bacterial small subunit ribosomal RNA", at positions 28 to 418 of the family's 1533-position model. The record is from RNAcentral.